Molecule: long non-coding RNA, 475 nt
Filed under: Cricetulus griseus (Chinese hamster)
Lineage: Eukaryota; Metazoa; Chordata; Mammalia; Rodentia; Cricetidae
Description: lncRNA (ENSCGRG00015034464.1)
Source: RNAcentral
GGACGCCGAGUUCCCAGGGGGCUAAAAACGGUCUGGGAUGGGGGUGGCCAUCUCUCCUCCCUCUCAUCGUGUUGAAGGAGCUGGGGCCAAAGGUCAGGAUGACUUGGAAGGCAGGGAAGCAGAGUGAAGACAUGGAAGAUUGAAGAACUCUGGACAUAGCCUGGGGCUUCCACCUCAGAGUAUCAGGUGAGAAUCUUGUCCUCAGAAGACUGUGGGAAAGGGUCUAUUGUAGCCCAUUUUACAGAUAAAGAAACUGAGGGGCUGGAGAGAUGGCUCAGAGGUUAAGAGCACUGGCUGUUCUUCCAGACGUCCCAAGUUCAAUUCCCAGCAACCACAUGGUGGCUCACAACCAUCCGUUAUGAGAUCUGGUGCCCUCUUCUGGUGUGCAGAUAUACAUGGAAGCAGCAUGUUGUAUACAUAAUAAAUAAAUAAAAUCUUUAAAAAAAUGUUUUUAAUUUAAAAAAGAAAAUGACAG